UUCUGCCUGCCCGUUAGGACAUAAUAUAUUUUUUUUUCCCUUGCCCCGUUGCCCGUGGAGAAGGCUCGUCUUCCUCUUGCAGAAGCUCUCCCGCAUCCAGCUGCUCACGUCUGCAUCAGCUCCUCUUCCUCAUCCCUGUCGAGUUAUGACUUGUGACCUAAUUUUACUGAUGGCGGGUCAUUUUUGUCGUGAGAAAGGGAAGGCUCAAUGAGGCAGCACAUUAUUGUAGACAGGCUUUAGCAGUCGUCAUCUGCCCCAAUUAAUUGUCAUAGUAACCUUUGGGAAUGCGAUGAAGGUUCAUGGUCCAUUACAAGAAGUGAGUUACUUUGUUCUUUGAAGAGGAAAUCUGUUUUCUAUAAAUUCUAUAGAAUAACAUAGUGUGAUUUCUUUGCUAAUGUACUUUAAAUUUGGUUUUCUUUUUAUUUGUAUUAUUCUUGCCCUGUGUGCUUGAGUGUUGUAUGUUCAUCUUGGCUGCAAGCAUUUUGUGUUUUGAUCUUCUUGCUAGUGAUUAUAGUUUUCUGAAGUUUCUGGGUUUUUUACUGACCUUUAAUAGUUUAAUUAGGAAAAAUUGUUUUUGAGAACUUUUAUUCUGUUAUACUUUGUACAGAAAUUGGGAAGAAUAAAAAAAUACCAAAAUUGUUCAAAAAAUUCUGAAUUUUGGUUUUCUAAAAUCCUCUACUUCUGUAGAGUAAAAAUAUCCCUAGUUUUCAUAUCGGUUCUUUACAAUAUAAUGUCUUUUUAACCCAGAUUUGUGAACCUUUCAGAAAUCGAAAAGUCUGCCUCUGUUUUAUAUCCAAACACUUUUUUACUUUCGCUUUCUGCAGACAGCCUUACAUUCAGAGUCUAACAGUGUCCAAUCCCAUGAUUGUCAUCAUCAUUUCCCUAAUGAUUUUACGAAAGCCACUGCAUAGGACUGGUUUAUCCUGGGCUUCGUUCAAGGAAAGAGAAGAACUUAACCUAAACCUCUUGUAAAAUCAGUUGAUGACCUAACAUUUAUGAGAACUUGUCACCCUUAAACCAACCUUUUAUGUAGAAUAUCAUACUUUUGUGGGAAAGUUGGUGAAGUUCGUUCUUCUACUCAGUCUACCCAUCUUGUUUUGCAUUCACCCAUCUCUUUAGGGAGUAGAGCUUAUGCCUCCUGGUGAUAUACCAUUUGAUGUCAAGAACAUUUGUAAAAUAAUUUUUUUUUAAUUUUGCUUAAAAACAUUUUAAAAAUGUCUUCGCUCAUAAUGAUAUGUCUUUGCUUUACUCUUAGUAUCUUCUCGAGUAGGAGAAACUUUCAAGUUUUUGUUGUCAAUCAAUGGAAGAGGAAAGCUGAAAAAAUCCUGGAUUUGAACAAUAAGGAAAACUCCUAUGAAGCUGAGAAAGUCAAGACUAGGAAAUGCUAUUGACUCUGGUGUUCAAACAUUUGCAAGGAUUUAGCAUGAAAAUAUAUGAGAGAGAAGCCACAAUGCUCUGUAAGAUCUUGGCAGGUAGCAAAAUGAGUGUUGAGAGAUGGGCUCGGGGCUUGUGUAGUUGUUCUCUGAGUCAGUAAUCAAGAGUACCGGGUAGGCAUAAAGCUGAUUUAUGUCUAUUUCGCGAAGAUAAUGGCUUAUGAACCUUUGGCUCGUUGAAAACCCGUAAGGUGAAGCGGGUUGGACACGUGACAAAGCUACACAUAACCACCAAAGCAGUGGAGCUUCGUAGUAGCCUUUGAGGUGGUGAGGUAUUCCCUCAAAGGUGAAGGUCGGCCUGAAAAAAAAAAUCAAAGGAAAAAAAAUCAAAAGGCAAAAAGCUGAAUGCAAAAAAAAAAAAAAAAAAAGAAAAAAAAAAGGUGUCUGCCAAGAGAUGAAAGACAUGAAGGCUGAACUCGCAGGAAUUGAAUGUAACGAUCUUUUGUGGAUGUGUGAAUUUGGGGUCAAUAUCUGCUCCUUUUUUUUGAUUACCUAAGAUGUCGAGGAUGAUUCCUUUAUGUUCACAUUUUGGAAAUUGAAAGAUAUCCCUUCUAGAGGUUCAACGACAUUGAUGCGAAAUGAAUCCUAAUCCUUGUAUGGUACUAUGGGUAAGUGAAUGACAUAUUAUUUGCACAACACGAGCACUUAAGUUUAUGAGUUAAAGUGAUAAUUUUGAACUAUUUCAAAGUAAAAUUUGACAUCUCUUGUUAUGUUUCGAGGUUUUCUAGGCAUAAGAGGAACUAAACGAUCCCCUUUGGUCUUGAAAGGUGUUUGCCAUUUCAUUAACAAACCACUAGUCCGUUCAUGGAAUAGAUGAAACUCUUCAAACCUAGUCCACUCAUACUGAAUGUGACAAUUUGUCCAUCUUUUCUUUUGUCUUCAAAGAGAUCAUUUGGGAACCUGACCCAUAAUUCCAUCUUAACCGAGUGUCUUCAACCCGUUGAAAUGUCUUCAACCUGUUUUUCAAUGACAUAACCCAGACUUAGGGAAGAUCUCUUAUUGGUCGAUCUUGAACUGUGACAUUUUUGAAAAAUUUUAUCCUUUAAAGUUGUAUGAGUUUUGUUCCUGGCUUCAUCUAAUAUUUGUCUUGGCUUGCAAUACAUGGUUUUGCAAAAUGGGGUGGAGUUAUUCUUCAUCGUCACCAACCACCCUCACAUGCCUUUGCGCUGUCGCCUUCAUAGUUUUGGACCAGGCUGGCUGAAUGACCUACUCCCCGUCGAUUGAGGCUGUUGCUUUUAAUCCAGUUCUUCCCAUUCCCACGAGAUGCUUUUCCUACAUUGGAGGAGAAGGUGAGCCACGAGAUGUUUUUCCUACAUUGGAGGAGAAGGUGAGCUGAGGUUGGUCCACAAUUAUGUCAGAAUGUAAGGCCCAGGAUCAUGAACUAAAAGGCCUGUUGUGGUUGGCGAACCAAGAGCCUUUGAUGCCAUUCACCAUUCAACGACAACUGUUCUAGAAAAACCAAAGUACUUAAUACAACCAGAGUUGGCUGUGGCAUUGGUUAAAGACAUCCUUAGGAAUGUGUUGUUGAUGUACUGAACACGAAAUAAUGCCUUUACUUUUCAUGUUUGUUGUGGUUUAAAGCAUAUGGAAGAUAUGACUCAGGGUCGUCUCUGUCAUGAACAUGUGUGUGUGUGUCUCUCUCUCAUACCCAAGUAGAAAGACACAUGCACGUGCACAAGUACUGAAAAACAUGUAUUUGUUGAUGUGUAGCUAGUGCUUGAAUUCGUGGCAUUUAUAAAAUAUCACAAUGCAGGUGGAUAUGGCUGAUUGGUGUAUUUUAUGGGCCCACUGUUCAAACGUGCAUAUGUUUUUAUUAGAGCUAACAUGUCAAUUCAUACAGUUAAAAGCAUUAAUAGAAGCAAAUUCUUGUUCUUUCCUACAAAUGAUAUGUGCCUCAUAGAGGGAGGGAGUUAUGCAAGUUUUUUGUCCAUGUAGGUGAUUGCCUUUUCUUAGCUGCAAAGUCAGAUGGGACUCCUCAUCUCCUGAAGGCUGCUUUUGAAAAUUGCCAUAAGCACAACUUUCAAUUUUCCUAUUUUCUUUCUGCUGAAAAAUGCUCAUUGGCAUACUUGAUUCUUACCAAAACUAUAUUGGGGAGCACAAGGAGCAAGUCAUUGAUGCUGUUACACUGACGACAGCAUCUAUGCCCUUUGGGUUGGAGAUGCGCUCAUUUGGAUCCAAAUGUAGUAUGAAGUUUAUGGUUAGACAAGACCAUCUUUUUUUAGGAAAAAGGAAGCACUUCCCUGAAUAUGUCAUUCACCGGCAAUACCGUCUCAUAU
This is a long non-coding RNA of Nymphaea colorata (pocket water lily), 3709 nucleotides long. RefSeq lists it as uncharacterized. The record is from RefSeq and is a predicted model, not a curated record. The transcript is spliced from 9 exons. Lineage: Eukaryota; Viridiplantae; Streptophyta; Magnoliopsida; Nymphaeales; Nymphaeaceae.